AGAGUUUGAUCCUGGCUCAGGACGAACGCUGGCGGCGUGCCUAACACAUGCAAGUCGAACGGGGCCCGCAAGGGUUCAGUGGCAAACGGGUGCGUAACACGUGAGGAACUUGUCCAUCGGCGGGGGAUAGCCGGCCCAACGGCCGGGUAAUACCGCGUACGACCUUCGGGAGGCAUCUCCUGGAGGUGAAAGCAGCAAUGCGCCGAUGGAGGGCCUCGCGGCCUAUCAGCUAGUUGGUGAGGUAAUGGCUCACCAAGGCUACGACGGGUAGCUGGUCCGAGAGGAUGACCAGCCACAUUGGGACUGAGACACGGCCCAGACUCCUACGGGAGGCAGCAGUGGGGAAUAUUGCGCAAUGGGCGAAAGCCUGACGCAGCGACGCCGCGUGUGGGAUGAAGGUCUUCGGAUCGUAAACCACUGUCGGGAGGGACGAAGUUCUGACGGUACCUCCAAAGGAAGCACCGGCUAACUCUGUGCCAGCAGCCGCGGUAAUACAGAGGGUGCAAGCGUUGUCCGGAAUUACUGGGCGUAAAGGGCGCGUAGGCGGCCCGAUAAGUAGGAGGUGAAAUUCUGCGGCUCAACCGCAGGACUGCCUUCUAAACUGUCAGGCUUGAGCACGGUAGAGGCUGGCGGAAUUCCCGGUGUAGCGGUGGAAUGCGUAGAGAUCGGGAAGAACAUCCGUGGCGAAGGCGGCCAGCUGGGCCGUUGCUGACGCUGAGGCGCGACAGCGUGGGGGAGCAAACAGGAUUAGAUACCCUGGUAGUC
This 765-nucleotide ribosomal RNA is filed under the name uncultured bacterium. Its description in RNAcentral is "bacterial SSU rRNA". It matches the Rfam family "Bacterial small subunit ribosomal RNA", at positions 8 to 795 of the family's 1533-position model. The record is from RNAcentral.